AACGAACGCUGGCGGCAUGCCUAACACAUGCAAGUCGAACGAAGCCUUCGGGCUUAGUGGCGCACGGGUGCGUAACGCGUGGGAAUCUGCCCCUUGCUUCGGAAUAACAGUUAGAAAUGACUGCUAAUACCGGAUGAAGUCUUCGGACCAAAGAUUUAUCGGCACGGGAUGAGCCCGCGUAGGAUUAGGUAGUUGGUGGGGUAAAGGCCUACCAAGCCGACGAUCCUUAGCUGGUCUGAGAGGCAGAUCAGCCACACUGGGACUGAGACACGGCCCAGACUCCUACGGGAGGGAGCAGUGGGGAAUAUUGGACAAUGGACGCAAGUCUGAUCCAGCAAUGCCGCGUGAGUGAUGAAGGCCUUAGGGUUGUAAAGCUCUUUUACCAGGGAUGAUAAUGACAGUACCUGGAGAAUAAGCUCCGGCUAACUCCGUG
RNAcentral lists this ribosomal RNA (433 nucleotides) under uncultured bacterium. Its description in RNAcentral is "partial 16S ribosomal RNA". It matches the Rfam family "Bacterial small subunit ribosomal RNA", at positions 29 to 507 of the family's 1533-position model. The record is from RNAcentral.